Molecule: long non-coding RNA, 2587 nt
Organism: Numida meleagris (helmeted guineafowl)
Lineage: Eukaryota; Metazoa; Chordata; Aves; Galliformes; Numididae
Exons: 4
Source: RefSeq, a predicted model, not a curated record
UUCCCUGGAAAGAAAUAGGAACAUAGGUUUAUAGCAGCUGGUACAGUUUUUCUGAUUUACUAACUUAGAUUUUUUUUUUUAACUGACUUGACAGGCAUAAGAUUCAAAGAAGCUCUUUCCUAGAUAUUAAAUUGAACUUCUGGAUGAUAUCCUUUCUGGAAUCUUUCCAACAUUUGUCCAUAUGAAGAUACUUGCAAAUUCUUGGACUGAAAUAUUACAAAUUUAAUAGAUAUUGUGAGAUACAAUGUGUUUAGAAUCGGUACUCAGGCAGAUAAGUUUUCUUUUCUGUGUCUAAAUUUGGCUACACAAACUUGAAUUUUUUUACUAAUAUACACUGAAAAGUGUUAUUUUUUAUUAUUAUUAUUAUUAUUAUUAUCUUUUGCAUGAAAACACACAAUCUCUUUCCUUUGAGCACAUUUCUAUUCAGGGUUGUGCAGGGUUUUAGUAUUCUUCCUCUCAGAUUUGUCUUUCUAUGUACAUAACCCCUUUCCACCCCAAAAAAUUACAGUUUGUUUUUUAAGUGAAAGAAGAAAGGAGAUUGAUGCUCCUGGUAGCCUUGAGAUUAAAAUUGAUCUUGAAUGGAGUGAGGAUGGUUUGCUAAUGAAAUUUCUUUCAGAGCUCGAUGUGAAUUAGCAGUGAGCUAAACCCAAAAGCUAUCUUGCUUCAGCAGAUAUUGAAUUGAGUGGGAAACAAACAAGAUUUAAGUAUAAGUUUGAGAACUAAGUAUCAUUGCAAUCAGAGUCCACACGCUUCUCACUCAUUACACUCAUAAUAGUGAUCUAGUGAUCCAAGGGAUGGAACACCUCCCCUGUGGGGACAGACUGUGAGAGCUGGAGCUGUUCAGCAUGGAGAAGGCUCUCGUCUUUGUCGUGUCUGUAAGGUGUCACUCAAUGGUACCACAAACUGAUCUGCACUAUCAGCGCUGACACAGUCCUUUCUUCCCACCUAGCGACAGGCCUGUUCAAAGGCACAAAUACUUGUGCAAUGUAGUGAUGUUCUGGUGGAAGGACUGGAUCAGGCCAUAUGCUUUUUACUGUUUACUGAGUUAGUUUUCUGUACUCACGCUGGUUCCCCAAGCAGCUGAGCUCAUGACUACUCAAAGGUAGUCUCAUUGCCUUUUCCACUUGCUCAUAUCUUUGCCCCUUCCUCCCUCAUCCUUUGAUGCUGUUACUCAACCAGCGGAUAGUCAAAGAUCAUAACUUUCCCUUACGUAGAUUCCCCUUCUCCGUGAUUCUUAUGUGUGUGAAUUUGUAUCACUUAACUGAUGAAAACAACGUAUCUUCGUGGGGAGUACUACUUUGUAUAACUUUAACUGAAAUAGAAGUAGUCACAGUAUGUAUUAAGUAGAUAGCUUGGAAGUUGAAAGAAAGGAGAUGUGAGAUGAACGGGAUUUCCCUUUUUUCUCUAGGCCUCAUCCAAAACCCGCUAUUUCCUUCCCUUUCUGAGAAUUAAGUAAGAAGUGAGUUUCUCGUUAUUAUCUCUAGCAGUAAGCAUACAUAAACUGAGAUCUCUUUUGAAAUAGCUGCUGUACAGAACAACAAAAAGAGGGUCUUAAAUGCUAUACCUUGUAAAGUAAGUAGAUAGAAAAAAGGACAGUAGACUGUGAGAGUGUAUUUCUCAUGAUACAGACGAAAUGCUAAGUCACGGCUUGAAGCAGUGAUUGAGCACCUGGUGGGAAGGCAGAGUCAACCCAGGGGAGCUCAGGUGCAUGCAAUGCACCUGAGUGAUGGGAAGGGGCGGAGCCAGGAUCCACCCCUUCCCAGACCUCAUUUAAAGGUUGGCAGUGGAGGUGAGGUAUCUGACUGGAGAUUCAUGAAUACUGGAGGCCUUCUAAAGCAACACAACAUGAGGCCAAUGAAGAUCUGAGUCUUGUUUGUUCCAUCUAAGCAGCGUGUUGGCUGCUCCUUUCCUCAGCUGUCUGCACUUAUUUCUCUGAAUGUGAGAAGACAUGGAAGAUGCUGAGGUAGCUGGAUGAAGGUAAUCCUCUACUGAUCCUGUUCAUCAAGUCUGCCUCAAUAUAUUUUAUAAUAAAAAAACAUGCUUUGCAAACCCUACUGCAGGACGUGUUAGUGGAAGCACAACAGUACUAUUUCCAACCUCUAGUGAGUACCGCCAAAGCCUUUUGGAGACUUUUUUUUUUGUGAGGUCUGACUGGAAUAGGAUACCUUACAGAUUCAGAAUGUGCAAAUUUUUAUGUAAUUUUCCUUUGCUCGCUGAUCUUAGUGUGCGGCUGCACCAAUAUCUGCACGGUCACCGGCAGCGGGCUGUAAGCCUGUGCUGCAAAGCUGUGAUUAGGAACGGAGAGGAGAGGAAACUCUAAAACCACUUUGCCUUUGGAGAGAUAGUAACAGCAAACUGCACCUGCAUAGCCCUGUAGGAAUUUUGGGCUUGUCCUUCUGGAUGUUCAUGUAUGUGCCAAUCUUUUGGCACGCUAGUAGCCCUAGUGACAUGAGUAUAAUCACACAAACGUGAACGGUUAUGCCUGUAGAUAUGGAGCUUGCUUUUUCCUGUUUAUGAAUGCACUGGUGGGUGAAACUAUUGAAUAAAUAUUAAUAAGGUUGGUAAGCGUAAGAACAGACAAAUGAAA